This 576-nucleotide ribosomal RNA is filed under the name uncultured eukaryote. RNAcentral's name for it is "bacterial SSU rRNA". It matches the Rfam family "Eukaryotic small subunit ribosomal RNA", at positions 81 to 661 of the family's 1831-position model. The record is from RNAcentral.
GCGAAACUGCGAACGGCUCAUUAAAACAGUUAUUGUUUAUUUGAUGAAUUCUACUACAUGGAUAACCGUAGUAAAUCACAGCUAAUACAUGCAAUAAAAGCCCGACUUCGGAAGGGCUGUAUUUAUUAGAUUAAACACCAACCGGCUUCGGCCGUUUCCGGUGAAUCAUGAUGACUAAACGAAUCGCAGAGCCCUUGCGGCGGCGAUACUUCAUUCAAAUUUCUGCCCUAUCAGCUUUCAACCGUAGGAUAUGGGCCUACGGUGGCUACAACGGGUCACGGAGAAUCAGGGUUCGAUUCCGGAGAGGGAGCCUGAGAAACGGCUACCACAUCCAAGGAAGGCAGCAGGCGCGCAAAUUACCCAAUGCGAAUUUCGCGAGGUAGUGACAAGAAAUAACCACAAUUUGAUUAUUAAUCGAAUUGAUGGGAAUGAUGCGGAACUAAACAAACCGCAAAGGAGCCAUAGGAGGGAAAGUCUGGUGCCAGCAGCCGCGGUAAUUCCAGCUCCUGUAGCGUACACUAAAGUUGUUGCAGUUAAAAAGCUCGUAGUCGGAUUUCUGGGCGGGUUGUGCACGCC